GGAGGGGUGGGUGAGUGGCUGAAACCAACGGUUUGCUAAACCGUCCUAGGGUGUCAAACCCUAGCGCGGGUUCGAAUCCCGCCCCCUCCGCCA
Molecule: transfer RNA, 93 nt
Filed under: Magnetospirillum fulvum
Lineage: Bacteria; Pseudomonadati; Pseudomonadota; Alphaproteobacteria; Rhodospirillales; Rhodospirillaceae
Also listed under: 2 other names
Description: tRNA-Ser
Rfam family: tRNA
About the family: Transfer RNA (tRNA) molecules are approximately 80 nucleotides in length. Their secondary structure includes four short double-helical elements and three loops (D, anti-codon, and T loops).
Source: RNAcentral